Molecule: ribosomal RNA, 500 nt
Filed under: uncultured bacterium
Lineage: Bacteria
Description: partial 16S ribosomal RNA
Rfam family: Bacterial small subunit ribosomal RNA
Source: RNAcentral
AUUGAACGCUGGCGGCAUGCCUUACACAUGCAAGUCGAACGGCAGCACGGGAGCAAUCCUGGUGGCGAGUGGCGAACGGGUGAGUAAUAUAUCGGAACGUGCCCAGUCGUGGGGGAUAACGCAGCGAAAGCUGUGCUAAUACCGCAUACGAUCUACGGAUGAAAGCGGGGGAUCGCAAGACCUCGCGCGAUUGGAGCGGCCGAUAUCAGAUUAGCUAGUUGGUGGGGUAAAGGCCUACCAAGGCGACGAUCUGUAGCUGGUCUGAGAGGACGCCCAGCCACAACGGAACUGAGACACGGACCAGACUCCUACGGGAGGCAGCAGGGGGGAAUUUUGGACAAUGGGCGAAAGCCUGAUCCAGCAAGGCCGCGUGCAGGAUGAAGGCCUUCGGGUUGUAAACUGCUUUUGUACGGAACGAAACGGUGAGCUCUAAUAAAGUUUGCUAAUGACGGUACCGUAAGAAUAAGCACCGGCUAACUACGUGCCAGCCGCCGCCGUAA